AUUGAACGCUGGCGGCGUGCCUAACACAUGCAAGUCGAGCGGAGCGGGGGACGGGCGAGUAAUGCCUAGGAAUCUGCCCGGUAGCGGGGGAUAAGGUCCGGAAACGGGCGCUAAUACCGCAUACUCUCAGUUGAGCCUAGGUCGGAUUAGCCAGUUGGUGGGGUAAGGGCCUACCAAGGCGACGAUCCGUAACUGGUCUGAGAGGAUGACCAGUCACACUGGAACUGAGACACGGUCCAGACUCCUACGGGAGGCAGCAGUGGGGAAUAUUGGACAAUGGGCGAAAGCCUGAUCCAGCCAUGCCGCGUGUGUGAAGAAGGUCUUCGGAUUGUAAAGCACUUUAAGUUGGGAGGCGUUACCAACAGAAUAAGCACCGGCUAACUUCGUGCCAGCCGCCGCGGUAAUUC
This 407-nucleotide ribosomal RNA is filed under the name uncultured bacterium. RNAcentral's name for it is "partial 16S ribosomal RNA". It matches the Rfam family "Bacterial small subunit ribosomal RNA", at positions 30 to 526 of the family's 1533-position model. The record is from RNAcentral.